RNAcentral lists this ribosomal RNA (419 nucleotides) under uncultured bacterium. Its description in RNAcentral is "bacterial SSU rRNA". It matches the Rfam family "Bacterial small subunit ribosomal RNA", at positions 30 to 448 of the family's 1533-position model. The record is from RNAcentral.
AUUGAACGCUGGCGGCAUGCCUUACACAUGCAAGUCGAACGGCAGCACGGGAGCAAUCCUGGUGGCGAGUGGCGAACGGGUGAGUAAUAUAUCGGAACGUGCCCAGUCGUGGGGAUAACGUAGCGAAAGCUACGCUAAUACCGCAUACGAUCUAUGGAUGAAAGCGGGGGAUCGCAAGACCUCGCGCGAUUGGAGCGGCCGAUAUCAGAUUAGGUAGUUGGUGAGGUAAAGGCUCACCAAGCCGACGAUCUGUAGCUGGUCUGAGAGGACGACCAGCCACACUGGGACUGAGACACGGCCCAGACUCCUACGGGAGGCAGCAGUGGGGAAUUUUUGGGACAAUGGGCGCAAGCCUGAUCCAGCAAUGCCGCGUGCAGGAUGAAGGCCUUGGGUUGUAACGUAGCUUUGUUACGGUAACG